GGCGGCACUAGCGCGGUGGUCCCACCUGACCCCAUGCCGAACUCAGAAGUGAAACGCCGUAGCGCCGAUGGUAGUGUGGGGUCUCCCCAUGUGAGAGUAGGGAACUGCCA
RNAcentral lists this ribosomal RNA (110 nucleotides) under Klebsiella michiganensis. The record is from RNAcentral. Lineage: Bacteria; Pseudomonadati; Pseudomonadota; Gammaproteobacteria; Enterobacterales; Enterobacteriaceae.